ACAGUUUAACUCAAUUACAGUAGCUCUCCAAAUAAAGAGUUAGGAUGCCAUUCCUGCUUCUUAUAAGCAAAUACACAAACUUGAGGUUAGAAACCUACUUACUCUUCAUAACAAAACAAGGCUCCUAAGCACGACAAUUCUCCUUUGGUCCAUCAGCUGUGAGUGAAUCAUUGCUAGCAUCCAAAACACCGAGGAGAGGCACGGCAAUGACUUGGCACUCACAAACAUGCUCUGCACAGGCAGGCACGUCUGGCGACGCACAGCACCAAACUGCCUCUCACUAACUCUUCAGCGAUCUACCCCUCUGUGCAAGCCAAGACCCUUCCCGACAACCCCCACGUUUUGCAUCCGAUCAAUUUAGAGAUGAACACAUUUAAAACCUGUAGAAGUUGCUGGAAUAAUGAAGAAAUUUUGGAAGGACAAUUUUUUUUAAAUGGAGAUAUUCACAGCUUGUUUCAAAGACCAUUGUUCUCCAGGGAGGACGUGCAACCAGUGCAGGGCUGUAUGGAACAUGAGGAUAUUUGGCUAACAGUUUCUCAGCGUAAAACACAAGAAUAAGAAACAAGAAAAGUAAUAAAUUAAACAUUCUGAUACUGCAGGCCCUGAGGAAGAGGACAGUAACAAAUAUGGGAAUCCUUACGUUGCUGAUUGAUAGGCCAUUUAAGGACCUGAUGAAGCAUAGCCUUGAAGAGGUUCAGCCAGAGCCAUGUCACUGACAAGAACAAGGAAAAUGACAUUAUCAUAGAUACUAUGGGAAUAAGGAAACUUUUAAUUGGGUCUUUGAGGGGACUGGUGAAGCUCUGUAAAAUUUACUGAGGCAUGUUUUAAUGAUUAUGAGAAUGAACCAAACUUAUGGUGUGCUUAGGGAAGGGGUGAAAUGUGGGGAAAGGAAGAUGUGGAGAUGGAUCAGGAACAAGUGGGAAAAUGGCAGGGGAAGGAGGUAAGAAUGGUUGGUUGUAUGUGAGCAAGCCACUAGCUGAUGAGCAUGUCUGACGAAGACCUGUGCUUGACUGCCUUUGUGUUCUCUCUCUUUUUAUUAAAUACUAUUAUUCCUGUCUGUUUAUCAAGUGAAUGUGCCUGAUUGACAGUGAGCCUCAUGACAAGUUAGCUGGUGGGACAGGAGUGCCAGCUCCUAAAUGCAGAGACCGUUUGUUGAAGUGACCCAUAGGUCUGGGGGCAGACAGCCACAGAGCUUGCUGCCAGAGGCACACAUUGCAUGCAUGACAUGCUAGCAAGCUCUGAGCCCAAUUAGCUGAUAGGUUAGAAUAUGGUCAACUACCUGAAGUGUUCAAGUCAGCACAAGUGCCUUUGGUGCAAAGCGGCAGCUGUGUGGGUGCAGGGAAGAGCGCUGUUCUCCUCAUGUUGGUCUUUGUUGCCAGAUGUAAGUAUUUGCAUCUUUGGACUUCCUGACUGCCACUGGACAUGGGAAUAGGAAUGGCAGCAUGCACAUCAACAGAAGAAAAAUCCUGGGGACUUGCAGCCCAUCUAUCUAACCUUCCCUUCUGCUUACCUCACCAGCCAUCCCAAUCUCCUUUCCCCCAUGUUGGCUUUGUAGCCUACAGUAUAUCUACACUGUGUCUAUACUGUAUGCAAACAUAAGAUAAGCUGGGUGUCAGCAACUGCAGAAAGCAGACAUCCGUAUGGAGAAGUCUGUAUAUCUGUGUUUUACAGCUUUGCUUCUUAGCACCUUCUCAGAGGUGGUAAUAUGAUUUUAUAAACUUACAUAUACCACAGGAUUUUAAAGCUUGUCUCUUCAAGAGAAUAAAUUAAGCUAAUGUGCAAGUGCAGAGGAGAUUUCAGAAAUGUCUAUCUGAAAUCUUGGUGUGUUUGCAGGAGCUCUAUUCAUAUAUUACAGUAGCACAUUGAUUUAAUAUCUCAUUUCAAGUCCACCUCAUGGAUCUGUGGGAAUGACAUAGCUUUUGCCAUCAAUGUGAUCAGGCUGAAAAGUUGCUUUUCUAUCUUCAUUUUUGUUCCUGAAAAUACACUUUUGACACUUGAUUUGUGAUUGCUGACACCUCACAGCUGAUAUAUGACUCAAGAGUUAAGAGGCACAGGGCCAGACAGAAUGAGCUAGCUAUAAUCUCUAAAACAUACAACACCCUCUGACACCAAAUGUGAAAAUCAUCAGCUUGUAUUUUCUGUCAUACAGAAAUAAUAAUAA
Molecule: long non-coding RNA, 2161 nt
Organism: Gallus gallus (chicken)
Lineage: Eukaryota; Metazoa; Chordata; Aves; Galliformes; Phasianidae
Product: transcription initiation factor TFIID subunit 4-like
Exons: 3
Source: RefSeq, a predicted model, not a curated record